Molecule: ribosomal RNA, 462 nt
Filed under: uncultured bacterium
Lineage: Bacteria
Description: SSU rRNA
Rfam family: Bacterial small subunit ribosomal RNA
Source: RNAcentral
AGAAUCAACGCUGGCGGCGUGCCUAACACAUGCAAGUCGAACGAGAAAGUGGAGCAAUCCAUGAGUAAAGUGGCGCACGGGUGAGUAACACGUGACUAACCUACCCUUGAGUGGGGGAUAACCUAGAGAAAUCUGGGCUAAUACCGCAUAAUACCUUCGGGUCAAAGGAGCAAUUCGCUUAAGGAGGGGGUCGCGGCCGAUUAGUUAGUUGGCGGGGUAAUGGCCCACCAAGACUGUGAUCGGUAUCCGGCCUGAGAGGGCGCACGGACACACUGGAACUGAAACACGGUCCAGACUCCUACGGGAGGCAGCAGUGGGGAAUUUUGCGCAAUGGGGGAAACCCUGACGCAGCAACGCCGCGUGGAGGAUGAAGCCCCGUUGGGGCGUAAACUCCUUUCGAUCGGGAAGAUAAUGACGGUACCGAGAGAAGAACGCCCCGGCUAACUUCGCGCCAGCAGCCGC